AUUGAACGCUGGCGGCAUGCUUUACACAUGCAAGUCGAACGGCAGCACGGGGGCAACCCUGGUGGCGAGUGGCGAACGGGUGAGUAAUGCAUCGGAACGUACCCGGGAGUGGGGGAUAACGUAGCGAAAGUUACGCUAAUACCGCAUAUUCUGUGAGCAGGAAAGUGGGGGCACGUAAGGCCUCACGCUUCUGGAGCGGCCGAUGUCGGAUUAGCUAGUGGGUGGGGUAAAGGCUUACCAAGGCGACGAUCCGUAGCGGGUCUGAGAGGAUGAUCCGCCACACUGGGACUGAGACACGGCCCAGACUCCUACGGGAGGCAGCAGUGGGGAAUUUUGGACAAUGGGCGCAAGCCUGAUCCAGCCAUGCCGCGUGAGUGAAGAAGGCCUUCGGGUUGUAAAGCUCUUUUGUUGGGGAAGAAAUGCUCUGGGUUAAUACCCUGGGGUGAUGACGGUACCCAAAGAAUAAGCACCGGCUAACUACGUGCCAGCCGCCGCCGUAA
This 500-nucleotide ribosomal RNA is filed under the name uncultured bacterium. RNAcentral's name for it is "partial 16S ribosomal RNA". It matches the Rfam family "Bacterial small subunit ribosomal RNA", at positions 30 to 523 of the family's 1533-position model. The record is from RNAcentral.